RNAcentral lists this ribosomal RNA (484 nucleotides) under uncultured bacterium. Its description in RNAcentral is "partial 16S ribosomal RNA". It matches the Rfam family "Bacterial small subunit ribosomal RNA", at positions 28 to 523 of the family's 1533-position model. The record is from RNAcentral.
GAUGAACGCUGGCGGCGUGCUUAACACAUGCAAGUCGAACGGUGAAGCAGGAGCUUGCUCUUGUGGAUCAGUGGCGAACGGGUGUGUAACACGUGAGCAACCUGCCCCUGACUCUGGGAUAAGCGCUGGAAACGGCGUCUAAUACUGGAUAUGUGAUGUGACCGCAUGGUCUGCAUCUGGAAAGAAUUUCGGUUGGGGAUGGGCUCGCGGCCUAUCAGCUUGUUGGUGAGGUAAUGGCUCACCAAGGCGUCGACGGGUAGCCGGCCUGAGAGGGUGACCGGCCACACUGGGACUGAGACACGGCCCAGACUCCUACGGGAGGCAGCAGUGGGGAAUAUUGCACAAUGGGCGGAAGCCUGAUGCAGCAACGCCGCGUGAGGGAUGACGGCCUCCGGGUUGUGAACCUCUUUUAGCAGGGAAGAAGCGAAAGUGACGGUACCUGCAGAAAAAGCACCGGCUAACUACGUGCCAGCCGCCGCCGUAA